GAAACGGCAGAAAGAAAAUUAUAGAGAGAGAAUGAAAAUUCUAGAGAGAGAAUGAAAGUUCUAGAGAGAGAGGGAGGUAACCGCCGCUCCGGCCACGAGGAGUCUGGUUCCGGCCGAGCCUUCAUGAAAUCUUCACAGAACGUAGAGAGGAACAUUCUUAACUUUUAGAUCGUCCAAAACCAUCCAGAAACGAGGAAAAAUCUAAAGAGGAUUACGCUCAAAAUCUGUGAAGAAGUUUGGCCGAGACCUCAACCCAAAGGCGGAGAUCCGAGGGUCAUCCGAGAACGGUGAGCGAACUUCCGGCGUUCUUAAAUCCUCCGAUAGUCAAGAAAAAAA
Non-coding RNA from Cucurbita pepo subsp. pepo (vegetable marrow), 336 nucleotides. The record is from RefSeq and is a predicted model, not a curated record. NCBI's taxonomy places the organism in Eukaryota, Viridiplantae, Streptophyta, Magnoliopsida, Cucurbitales, Cucurbitaceae.